Molecule: ribosomal RNA, 792 nt
Filed under: Ophiocordyceps nutans
Lineage: Eukaryota; Fungi; Ascomycota; Sordariomycetes; Hypocreales; Ophiocordycipitaceae
Description: eukaryotic LSU rRNA
Rfam family: Eukaryotic large subunit ribosomal RNA
Source: RNAcentral
UUCCUUUCUAGGGGCCCGAGUUGUAAUUUGCAGAGGAUGCUUUUGGUGCGGUACCGUCCAAGUGCCCUGGAACGGGACGCCACAGAGGGUGAGAGCCCCGUCUGGUCGGAUGCCUAGCCUCUAUAAAGCUCCUUCGACGAGUCGAGUAGUUUGGGAAUGCUGCUCAAAUUGGGAGGUAUAUGUCUUCUAAAGCUAAAUACUGGCUAGAGACCGAUAGCGCACAAGUAGAGUGAUCGAAAGAUGAAAAGCACUUUGGAAAGAGGGUUAAAUAGCAUGUGAAAUUGUUAAAAGGGAAGCGCUUAUAACUAGACAUAGGGGCUGUCUAAUCAACUAGUGAUUUUCACUAGGAUACUUAGACGCGAUCUAGGCUAGCAUCGGUUCGCUACGGGGGAUAAAGGCGCUGGGAAUGUGGCCCCCCUCUCGGGGGGUGUUAUAGCCUAGCGUGUAAUACUCUGUAUGCGGACCGAGGUCUGCGCCCUUUGGGCAAGGAUGCUGGCGUAAUAGUUAUUAGUGACCCGUCUUGAAACACGGACCAAGGAGUCGUCCUUGUAUGCGAGUGUUUGGGUACUGGAAACCCAUGCGCGGAAUGAAAGUAAACGUAGGUGAGAGCUCUCCGGAGUGCAUCACCGACCGAUCCUGAUGUUCUCGGAUGGAUUUGAGUAGGAGCAUACAGGGCCGGACCCGAAAGAAGGUGAACUAUGCCUGCGUAGGGUGAAGCCAGAGGAAACUCUGGUGGAGGCUCGCAGCGGUUCUGACGUGCAAAUCGAUCGUCAAACGUGGGCAUGGGGGCGA